RNAcentral lists this ribosomal RNA (587 nucleotides) under uncultured bacterium. RNAcentral describes it as "partial 16S ribosomal RNA". It matches the Rfam family "Bacterial small subunit ribosomal RNA", at positions 355 to 1375 of the family's 1533-position model. The record is from RNAcentral.
UGGGGAAUUUUGGACAAUGGGCGAAAGCCUGAUCCAGCAAUGCCGCGUGUGUGAAGAAGGCCUUCGGGUUAUAAAGCACUUUUGUCCGGAAAGAAAUCCUUGGCUCUAAUACAGUCGGGGGAUGACGGUACCGGAAGAAUAAGCACCGGCUAACUACGUGCCAGCAGCCGCGGUAAUACGUAGGGUGCAAGCGUUAAUCGGAAUUACUGGGCGUAAAGCGUGCGCAGGCGGUUUGCUAAGACCGAUGUGAAAUCCCCGGGCUCAACCUGGGAACUGCAUUGGUGACUGGCAGGCUAGAGUAUGGCAGAGGGGGGUAGAAUUCCACGUGUAGCAGUGAAAUGCGUAGAGAUGUGGAGGAAUACCGAUGGCGAAGGCAGCCCCCUGGGCCAAUACUGACGCUCAUGCACGAAAGCGUGGGGGAGCAAAACAGGAUUAGAUACCCUGGUAGUCCACGCCCUAAACGAUGUCAACUAGUUGUUGGGGAUUCAUUUCCUUAGUAACGUAGCUAACGCGUGAAGUUGACCGCCUGGGGAGUACGGUCGCAAGAUUAAAACUCAAAUGAAUUGACGGGGUCAUAGCUGUUUCCU